AACGAACGCUGGCGGCAUGCCUAACACAUGCAAGUCGAACGAGACCUUCGGGUCUAGUGGCGCACGGGUGCGUAACGCGUGGGAACCUGCCCUUAGGUUCGGAAUAACUCCCCGAAAGGGGUGCUAAUACCGGAUAAUGUCUUCGGACCAAAGAUUUAUCGCCUUUGGAUGGGCCCGCGUUGGAUUAGCUAGUUGGUAGGGUAAAAGCCUACCAAGGCGACGAUCCAUAGCUGGUCUGAGAGGAUGAUCAGCCACACUGGGACUGAGACACGGCCCAGACUCCUAGGGGAGGCAGCAGUGGGGAAUAUUGGACAAUGGGGGAAAGCCUGAUCCAGCAAUGCCGCGUGAGUGAUGAAGGCCUUAGGGUUGUAAAGCUCUUUUCCCGGGGAUGAUAAUGACAGUACCGGAAGAAUAAGCCCCGGCUAACUCCGUG
RNAcentral lists this ribosomal RNA (433 nucleotides) under uncultured bacterium. RNAcentral describes it as "partial 16S ribosomal RNA". It matches the Rfam family "Bacterial small subunit ribosomal RNA", at positions 29 to 507 of the family's 1533-position model. The record is from RNAcentral.